This 254-nucleotide ribosomal RNA is filed under the name uncultured bacterium. RNAcentral describes it as "partial 16S ribosomal RNA". It matches the Rfam family "Bacterial small subunit ribosomal RNA", at positions 524 to 776 of the family's 1533-position model. The record is from RNAcentral.
UACGAAGGCCCCAAGCGUUAUCCGGAAUCACUGGGCGUAAAGAGUUCAUAGGCGGCGUAAUAAGUCUUUCGUAAAAGACCGGGGCUCAACCUCGGCAGCGCGGGAGAAACUAUUAUGCUUGAGGACGGAAGAGGCAAGCGGAAUUACCGGUGUAGUAGUAAAAUGCGUUAAUAUCGGUAGGAACGCCCAUUGCGAAAGCAGCUUGCUGGAACGAUCCUGACGCUAUAAGAACGAAAGCGUGGGUAGCGAUACGG